This is a non-coding RNA of Urocitellus parryii (Arctic ground squirrel), 1239 nucleotides long. Lineage: Eukaryota; Metazoa; Chordata; Mammalia; Rodentia; Sciuridae. The record is from RefSeq and is a predicted model, not a curated record.
GCCAGCAGCCACACACAGCCCAGGGCCACGCUCACACUACCUUGGCCACUGAGCACACAGUCUAUGGCGCUUUGCCCCACUCAGCUUGGAGCCCACCUGAUUCUCAGAAAAACGCAGCUGGGGGGUCUCAGGUUUUCGUCGCCGUGAGUGGAACUCUGACUGAAGGAACUCUGACUGACACACAGUGCAGCAAUGUGGCAUGUGACUUCCCAGGCAAGGCCAUCAAGCCACUCUGACCUCAGCCUCAGUCUCCUGAUGACUCACCUGGGGGAGGGCAGUCCCCGUGUUGAGGGGACGCAGGGGCAGCCCAGUGGGGCAGCCAUGUGAGGAGGAGCUGAGGCCCCGAGCCACCAGCCAGCCCCAGCCGGGCAGGCCUGGGAGGGUGCCGUGCUGGGAGGGGACGGUCUCGGCCUGCAGAUGAACACAGCCUGCUCUCACCUUGGCCCAGCUUUUGAGAGACCCUGAGCCAGAACCAGUCGAUAAACCACUGAGUUUGGGGAUCGAUUUCUACACAGCCACCGAGAACGAAUCUAGAGGCCAGAGCUCAGGAGCCAGGCACAGAGGCACACCCCUGUCAUCCCAGAGACUGGGGAGGCUGAGGCAGGAGGAUUGCUAGUUUGAGGCCUCCCUCAGCAACUUAGGGAUGUGGCUCAGAGGAUUCAGUCCCCAGGAAAACACCCAGCCACACACCGAGACCUGCCCUUCGUGGAAGAGGCAGAGCAGCUGCCCAGGGCUGUCUGGAGGCAGGGUCCCCCGCAGGCCCUGUGGUCUCACACUCCUGCACCUGCCUUUCCCCCGAGAACCCUCGGAUUGACAACACCUGCACAGGAGGGCCCCCAGCUCUCCUCCCGCUGUGCUGUGGCAGCCCAUGGAUAAGGUCAGCUGACCCCUUGCUGUGUCCCUCCUGAAUUCACAAGCUGGAUCCUAAGGCCCAAUGUCACAGUACUAAGAGGUGGGGCCUGCAGGAAGUGGCCAGGCCACGAGAGUUCUGCCCUCCUGAAAGGCCCUGGGCAGCCUGUUGCCCUUGCAUCCCUCCAAUCUCAAUGUCCACCCACUCUGGAAACAGACCAGGCCUCCCCAGACAGGAUCUACCCGUGCCUUGAUCCUGGACCUACAGCCUCCAGAACUGUGGGCCAUGAACUUCCGUUGUUUAUAAACGACCCAGUCUAAAGCAUUUUGUUACAGAAGCACAACAGACGGAGACGCUGCCCCUCACAGUUGCCACCUGCCUCUUCCUCG